Oxyura jamaicensis (ruddy duck) is the source of this 1095-nucleotide long non-coding RNA. RefSeq lists it as uncharacterized. Lineage: Eukaryota; Metazoa; Chordata; Aves; Anseriformes; Anatidae. The record is from RefSeq and is a predicted model, not a curated record. The transcript is spliced from 3 exons.
CUAUGAAGAGUCUUGGCAUUUAAUUCGUUCAGUGUGUCUUUUGUGUUUGGAAAUGCUUUUCUGUCUGCACUGGGAAUGUGUUUCUGCUGGAGAGAAAUGACUUUGCAGGUGAACAGAAUAACAGCAAAGAGCGGUACAAGCACCACUGGGUCCCCCCGGCGCCCUCCGAGGGCUCCGGGUACCGGUGCGUUAGGAUCAGCCACAAGAUGGACCCCUUGAUACGCGAGGCGGCGGGGAUGAUCGGACUGAGCCGCGAGAGACUCUUCCGGCUCCUACCCAGCGAAUUGACUCUGGGUCGACCCUUUCGAGGUGUCCUAUCGUAUAGGUGAAAACGGCUCUGUCUGCGCCCUUUACGAAAGUCUCCAGCCGGGGAAGGAGACGACCGAACCUCUGGAGAGUAGGACCAGCCGUAAGGAGCGGCAGAUCCAGCCCUUCCAAGAAUUACAUCAUGAUGACAGUUUCUAGUGAAGUUCCUGUUCUUUGUUCAACGGUGUAUAUAUAUCCUGGUUUCUGAUAAAAGUAGAUGCAACCGAGAUCUUUAUUCUCUUUUUAUUGGCAGUGGUAGUAUUUUCCACCCUGUAGUCAUUAAAGCCGUAGUUAGCACUGCCAAAUUCUUUGUGGCCAAGGACUUAUGUAUAACGCAGUUCUUUAAGCUGCCUGUUACUCUGGAUCAUGUACUGUAAAUGCACUGUGCAGUCAGCUGACUGUUUUACAUAUAUUUUCAAGGAAGUACUAGCUAUUUGUAAUAAAAAUGUCGUAGCACUCUUCAUGAUGAAUUUUCAUCAAGAUUAACGCUUGGUUUAAAAAAAACAACUCAACUUGCAAAGCAAUUAAAAAGAAUUAAAAACAAAUUUAAUGAGCUGCACGUAAAUCUUUCCAGUGACUUGUCUGCACAGUUUUCUCAGGGUCGUUCAAGUUUGGCUGUAAGGCACAACUAACAAAAAGUAACUUAUAUUUUUUCCUCUUUCAAAGCAUGCUUUUAUGUCAGGGCUGGGUUUCAUCUUGCCCCAACAUUUUGACAAAAGGGACUAGGGAAAUAGUUACCUUGUUAUUUCUAGUUAUUGAAGUAUAAUAAUAAAGACUUGUUCAAACUGC